GUAGGGGGCAAGCGUUGUCCGGAUUUAUUGGGCGUAAAGCGCUCGCAGGUGGUUCGUCGCGUCGUGCGUGAAAGACCCCGGCUCAACUGGGGAGGGUCGUGCGAUACGGGCGGACUGGAGGCCAGUAGGGGGAUGCGGAAUUCCGGGUGUAGUGGUGGAAUGCGUAGAGAUCCGGAGGAACACCAGCGGCGAAGGCGGCAUCCUGGACUGGUCCUGACACUCAGGAGCGAAAGCGUGGGGAGCGAUCCGGAUUAGAUACCCGGGUAGUCCACGCCGUAAACGAUGCGCACUAGGUGUCGGGGGUAUCGACCCCCUCGGUGCCGCAGCUAACGCGAUAAGUGCGCCGCCUGGGGACUACGGCCGCAAGGCUA
This 371-nucleotide ribosomal RNA is filed under the name uncultured bacterium. RNAcentral's name for it is "bacterial SSU rRNA". It matches the Rfam family "Bacterial small subunit ribosomal RNA", at positions 527 to 896 of the family's 1533-position model. The record is from RNAcentral.